GAAGACGAGUCGUGGCCCAUGACGUCAUGUCCUUUCCGAUCCGUGGCCCGGGAAACUUGCUUUCCGGUUACCUCCGCCGCCGCCUGGAUUAGUCACUUGCGGAAGCGGCGGAGCUCAGCGGCGAUUCUCGUGCGCGAGGAGGGCUGAGCGGAACCGGCGAAAGAUGGAGUUCCUUAUGCAGAUUAAGAGGGCCACCGUGCUGGAACCUGGAAGAGGUGAACGACAGCGAUAUUCAGUUGGAGCCGCUGCACUACUCGGUGGCGCGGCCGAUUGAGGAGCCGCUGGCGCCUAUGGUGGAGGUGAAUGCGGACGGCCAGAUCUGUGCGGCGGAAGGGGCGACGGAUGUAGUCCGAGAAGGGUCGCCGAGAGCGUUGGAGCACUCCAUUGGACAGAUCGACCCUAGAGCUCCUGGGUGGAAAAGAAGGUAUGUCAGUUCAGCAGAACCACAAAAUUUGUGCGACGAAUUAUUAUGGCAUGAUUUGAAAUAAGCUGAGCAUGCAAAAUGUGACAGGGAGGGGUCCCUAUGAGUUGGUACUGCCUGAACUACUAGGUGUGUGGCCAUGUAAAUAUAGAUGCAGGGCUGACUGAUCUGUUAGUACAUGCUUCUGAAAUUCAGAAGAAGAAUAGACUGGGCAUUGCGUGAUUUAUGGUUUGAAGUAAUUACCAUGUUUCUCGAAUAUGAAGUAAUUACCAUGUUGCCGCUAGUGUGUGAAAUCAGGAAAUUGUUAUUAACAAAGUUGUGAAAUCGGUGAUUGUGCAGCUAAACCAAAAGUAGAAGAGCAGGGGCAAGAAAUGUUAUUAUUCGAGCACUAUUACACUGCAAAAAGUGAUGUGUCGGGUGCUUGCAAAUGUUUGCUAGUGUUUUCUAUAAAACUAUCCAUGAAAUUCGUAUCAGUUUGUGGGAUUUGCUUGGUUGCAGAGUGAGGGUAGGUGCUGCUCCGCCGGGAAAGACGCCAUGUCCUAAUCGGACUACUGCUCUGGAGAAGACUAUAUGUGGUUUUGCCAACAAUGCUGGGCAGUGGCGGAGCUACACAAAAAUAGUUGGGCGGGCGAGGCAAACAAGUGCACGUUUUUUUUCAAAAUUACGAUGAAUCGUGCUACUUCAUUAGACAUGAGUCAGUUCUCAAUAAUUUUUUAACUAGAUCAGCAAAUAUAUACGCACGGCAAGACCGUCGUCGCUUGGGUGCGCGAAUGUGCGGUGGAUGAUGUUGGCCAGCUAGUGGCCUCUGAUGCUUGCUGUGCCGCUGCUGCUCGGCUGCUCCUUGUGGCCAAUAAUUACUGCUCCAUUCCUGGCGUCGUGCGAAUCUCUCACUAAAUGGAGCGUAAUGGGGAUUAGGGGCCUAGGUGGUGUCUGCCAGUAGACCAGGCUUAUGAGCUACCGAUGCGUAUGAAAGAAAAAACAUACAGAUCCUGGGCAGGCCGCGGCCACUUUGGCCUUGCCGUAGCUCCGCCACUGAUCCUGGGGAUAAUGUCAUAGUGGCAACUUUGGGUGCAAGCUUUGAUUCUCUUGGUGAAGCCUACGAUUCCUACGACUUGUAUUCGGGGGAGAAAGGAUCUGACAUAAGAUACGGCAAGAGUAGGCUAAAUGUGGAGAGGACAAAAUGCAUGCAGGAGAUUGUUUGUGGUUGUGCGGGGAAGGCGGGGGUUGAGAACACAUGGCCGUGCCGUUGUGAAUGCCCUGCUCUCAUCAGGUUGUUGUGGUCCAAGGCCAAUGGCUAGUACAUAGCAGAACACUCUGAGGAGCACAACCGCUUGGACCGGAAGACAUGAUUGCCGAAAAUGGUGAUGUCAUGAACCAAAUUCAGACUGAAUGGGCACUUGUUGUUACUGGGGACAGAUGAAAAAAUAGCCUUCACAACGAUGAUGUUAAUUCAGCAGAUGACUCUGGGAACAGAUUGGCAGGACUAUUGACACAGGCAAAAAGGAAUGAGAUGGGCAGGCCUACGACCAGCAGAGAGAAAGCGACUUACGAUGGGUUGAGCAAGAGGACCAGGUUCUGCACCAUUUGCUGGCAACAGGGGCACAAAAGGACUACGUGCCCAGACCGCGGAGAUGUACCAAAGCAGGUUAGAAGUCCUGCUCGAUGCAAGAACUGUGGAGUCAAAGGUCACCACUCACCGGCGGAACAAUUGCAACGAAGCAGCAGAGCUACGUCUGAAAGUGAGACUGAAAAAAUAGGGAUGUACCUGAGACAGUACUUGCAUGGUUAGGAUAUAUGGUGUAUGCGUAUGACAAUUUCCAGAUAGUGCGGACUGAUUUGUUGUAGCCUGUGUCUCGUGGUAAAGAUUUAAAAUUUCCUUUGCAUGUGUAGAUCGACAAGUGUGUCUCAAUGUAUUCCUUGAACUUCCUGUGCGGAACUUGUCUGAAUAAAUAGUUUGUGGUCCGAAUAACUGUACUGAAUGUGUUGUGAAUAGGGCUGUGUUUUGA
Molecule: long non-coding RNA, 2427 nt
Organism: Triticum aestivum (bread wheat)
Lineage: Eukaryota; Viridiplantae; Streptophyta; Magnoliopsida; Poales; Poaceae
Exons: 3
Source: RefSeq, a predicted model, not a curated record